This 254-nucleotide ribosomal RNA is filed under the name uncultured bacterium. RNAcentral describes it as "partial 16S ribosomal RNA". It matches the Rfam family "Bacterial small subunit ribosomal RNA", at positions 524 to 777 of the family's 1533-position model. The record is from RNAcentral.
UACGGAGGGGGCUAGCGUUGUUCGGAAUUACUGGGCGUAAAGCGCACGUAGGCGGCUUUGCAAGUCAGAGGUGAAAGCCCGGGGCUCAACCCCGGAAUUGCCUUUGAGACUGCAUCGCUAGAAUUGUGGAGAGGUAAGGUGGAAUUCCGAGUGUAGAGGUGAAAUUCGUAGAUAUUGGAAGAACACCAGUGGCGAAGGCGACUUACUGGACACAUAUUGACGCUGAGGUGCGAAAGCGUGGGGAGCAAACAGGG